AAAUAUGAGGUGGUCAGUUGACACUUUCAAGUGGUAAGUGGAGUGCCAAAUUGAAUCCUUAUUAUUGCCAAACACGCAUUAACAUAUUGAGGAAAUAAAUGCGUCGUUUCCAGUUAUAACCCAAACCCUAAACGCGAUACCGAGAAUCCCCAAAUCAAUUAUCGAAGCUCUAUCCCCAAAAUCGAUUGUAAUCACUCCGAGAACGACGCAAGGAACCCAAAAUCGAUUGUAAUAUGUUGUUUGUUGGACCUAGCGACGCGCAAUAAAGAUUCAUUUUUGUCAGAGGAGACUGUUCAAAAGAUUAUGUCCGGUAUGCACUAAAUAACUCUUUAAUUUCUUGUGAUGACACUGAACUGUGUGCUUGUUCGAGCUGAUUUGAGUGUUAUUUCCCUUUAUUGCUGGAAGCCAAAUAAGUAUUGAUGAUCUAUCUGUCAUGGAAAAGAAACGUUUCACGAGAGCUGUAACCUCAGGAGAGCUAAGCAAGUUGAUCAUGCCAUGGGAUCCAUGGUGGCUGAAGCCUUCUGCCAAAUCUAUAUUACUCACUCGGGAUGGAGUCAACCUUGUCCAACCACUGUCCAGCAAGAACAAGUGGAAUCAUCAGAAAAUGAUAUGGAAAGCAAUCAGUUGUAUGACGUUCCACCUUGCCCUGAAAACCCGUUAUCACUAGAUAGCAAGCAUAAUACUUCUGUACCGUCACCUCUAUUAGCUUUUCACCUCAUUGGCGUAAUUUACAGUUACCGUUUUACCCUGCAGAUGCCCUAGAAUGAGCUAUGGUCUUUCUUGGUGUGUCUUCUAUCUUGGGUACAAGUGGAUAACUUUUGAAAGUGUUGGAAGCUUUAUUGCAUUGCUUGGAACAAGCAUCCUCUCCUGCAUACAAGCGUAUGAGUGGCUUAAAAUUUGAAUUAGGGCUGAUGUAAUAAGCCUUCUUUAUCUUAAACGCGAUGCCUUAAUUUGCUUGCUUUCUGAUGUGUAACCUUACUGAACCUGAAUUAUAUAGCAUGUUAUUGAUCAAAUGGAGCAAUGUUAUGCCGGUGAACAAAAAAAUGUGGAAUUUGAGGGUGAGCCCAUUGGUGGAUCAAGGGCAUUCCAAGUUGAAGAUUUGUCUUGUAUUUUGAAAACCGUUGCUAAAAUCCUGAAAGCAGAGGACAUCGAGAUCUCUCUUAAUAUUACUAUCCAAAAGGAAAAAUGAGAUAUUGAAAAGAACGGGAAUAGAAGGAAAGAGCUCCAUAAAAUGUUACUUAACUUUUUUGUUGCUUAAAACAAAGUUGAUUGUAAUUGUCAUGGUGUACAAAGCUCACUGUAAUCGUGAAGUGUUAUCCAAGUAUGCUCCCUUAUUUAUUUAUUAACAAGUUUGAACAAUGUAGACUGGCUUUUGUUUUUGAAAAGUUCGCUCUUGUUUCAUUGUUUUUGGAAA
Olea europaea var. sylvestris is the source of this 1414-nucleotide long non-coding RNA. RefSeq lists it as uncharacterized. The transcript is spliced from 2 exons. Lineage: Eukaryota; Viridiplantae; Streptophyta; Magnoliopsida; Lamiales; Oleaceae. The record is from RefSeq and is a predicted model, not a curated record.